Molecule: non-coding RNA, 2334 nt
Organism: Oryza sativa Japonica Group (Japanese rice)
Lineage: Eukaryota; Viridiplantae; Streptophyta; Magnoliopsida; Poales; Poaceae
Source: RefSeq, a predicted model, not a curated record
GUUUAAUAGAUUCGUCUCGCAGAGUUAUAGAAUUGGUUUUAUUAUUAGUCUAUAUUUAAUACUUCUAAUUAGUGUUUAAACAUCCGAUGUUGCUGUAUCUAAACAGGCCCUAGGUUACAUCGUUUCUCUAGGGUUCCCUUUUUCUUGGGUUUCUUUGCCGGGUCGGCCGAAGGAAAUAUCAUUUUUCUAGGUGUCUUUUCGUUUUCUGAGGGGGCGCUCCGUUGCACUAACCUGUGCUGCUUUGAACUCUGUUGGCUCGUCCUAUUUCUAUGUGCGUGAGCUGCUGAUUUCUCUGCUCUUUAUAAAAGUCGACAUAGGUGAUGACGGUUCAUGGGAUUUAGAGUCGCACGUUUGUUUUUUUUUUUUAACAAAUUGGAGGGUCAUGCAUACACGAUACUGACUUAUAAAAUAGUAUACUUAAGAUUUGAAGGCUUAACUUCAUAAGGUGCACGGACGUGUUUUGACCAUCACACAUGGACUUUUUGAGACGCAAAUAUUACGUAUGGAACUAAUAUUAAAUAAUUAGAAGGGGUAAAACUUUGAACCCAAAUCGUCUAACCCACCACCUUGUAGAGCUAGCCGAAAGAUCCCUAUGCGUUUUUUACUUUUUGAGAUUAAAUCCUAAUAAAAAUAUGAGCACAUGUGUCAAAUUUGAGACCUAAACCUAGGUGACCUUGUGGAUAGAUUUUAUAAUCAAGGAUUAUGAACAACUGAAUUAUGCCCAGUUGAUAUCCAUUAUAUUAUAUAUGGCCUUAUCGUUCCGCUGAUUAGAGGAAUAGGCCAAACGACAUAUUUACAAACGAAAAAAAAUUGAAUUUUUUAUAUAUGUGUUCUCAACGAUUUAAAAGCAAAGAUUGAAAAUAAAUUUCGAUUCAAAAUCACAAAAUCAACUCCAAAUUAAGAUUGAAAAUUUAAAUUUUGAUUGAUAAGUAUAACCAUGUAUAAGCGAAACAAUGAUGCUUAUAUUACUUUGGGAAUCUUGUAGUUUUUUACCAAGCUCUUUUCACGUGGUAAUGUCGGCUGCAUGCAAUCGCACUCUCAGAUACCCUCUUUUCGUUUGGUUUCUUAAACAGAGCACUUGUAUAUUUGAUUUACUUUCUUGUGAAUUUCGUAUGAAGCACUUCCUCUUCCUCAAAAUAUAACCAUGUUUAGGAUUUAAAAUCUGUACCACAGUAAUGUUUUAGGCAGUGAUUCCAAUUCAAAGACGAAAUAUAUGCAGUUUCAAUCAAUCAAGUGGUUGGCAGAGGAAUUUAAGCAAUUUUAGAAUUCAAAAUUUGAUCAUUGAGUAAUCUUAAUAUUUGCCAAACAAUUUAGAAAUGCUCAUAUUUUAAGAUAAAGGGAUGCUUAUAUUUUAAGAUAAAGUCAUGAUAAAGUUCCAUGACGCAUUUAUUAUUCUUUUUCUUUUUAAAUUGGAGAGGCACUUCAAAUCCAAGAGAAUUGCUCGUAUUUACGGCUACUUUUUUUUUCAGUGGUAGGCAACGACGUAACCAUCAUAGUGACUAGUGAGAUACGGUCAUUUCGUUAAUUUUAAAAUAUAUUGUGCAGUCUUUUGAGAUAUUUAUAAAGAUAUGGUAUGUGUGCACGUUUGUGAACACCUGCGUUUGUCUUGUAUAUUUUUGAAAAAUGGUACUACCGUGCAAUGGUGCUGUUGGUGCAAGCAUGACAUAAAAGCACAUGGCGGUGAUGAGCUCGUCUCAAGGUGCGCAAAUGCAAAUCCAUCCAACAGCCAAACCUAAAGAUCAGCGUAAGCAAAUGGCCCAAAGCCCAUGGGCUUCGUAGAGGGCGCGGCCCAAUCUUGACCCAUUCUGCUACUCUAGGCCCUCCCAGCCAGAGCACUAGAGCAGUGCAGCGCGGCGGCGACUCGGCGCCGGCGUCGCCUCCGUGGUGGAGCUCGCCGGCGGAGGAUGCCUCCACCGUCCCCCGACCCCGCUCCUCGCCGUCCUCUUCUGUCAGUUCCUAUAUCCUAUCAUCCUUGAUGAACUCCUUGAGCCUCCCCAGGAACAUCACCAGGAUAACUAUCAGCUUACCCUCCUCGGUCCACCUGCCGACGAACCCGUAGGAAGCAUCUUUGCAAGUGGCAUCAGGCUUCAACAACUUCUGGCAACUGUAUCCUAGUGAGUAGCCUACAUUGCCGAAAGCGCUGUGGAAAUAAAAUGGCGUUAUUUCUGUUUGCUUGUAAGCAACCAAAAAAGAAAAAAAAAUGACAGGUCGUAGAUUUGAUAUGUUCUUGCAAAUUUAAUUAUGCUGGUUCAGUGGUUCUUAGUGAUCAUACUAGGCAAUUCGGAUUUUCAGUGAUGUAAUUUUGAUGUAGCCAUAGUUUCUGUUAUGGGCAGA